GAUGAAGAACGCAGCGAAAUGCGAUAAGUAAUGUGAAUUGCAGAAUUCAGUGAAUCAUCGAAUCUUUGAACGCACAUUGCGCCCGCCAGUAUUCUGGCGGGCAUGCCUGUUCGAGCGUCAUUACAACCCUCAGGCCCCCGGGCCUGGCGUUGGGGAUCGGCGGAAGCCCCCUGCGGGCACAACGCCGUCCCCCAAAUACAGUGGCGGUCCCGCCGCAGCUUCCAUUGCGUAGUAGCUAACACCUCGCAACUGGAGAGCGGCGCGGCCACGCCGUAAAACACCCAACUUCUGAAUGUUGACCUCGAAUCAGGUAGGAAUAUCCGCUGAACUUAAGCAUAUCAAUAAGCGGAGGA
Molecule: unclassified non-coding RNA, 353 nt
Filed under: soil metagenome
Description: partial contains 5.8S ribosomal RNA, internal transcribed spacer 2, and large subunit ribosomal RNA
Rfam family: 5.8S ribosomal RNA (bases 1-120)
Source: RNAcentral